This 492-nucleotide ribosomal RNA is filed under the name uncultured bacterium. RNAcentral describes it as "partial 16S ribosomal RNA". It matches the Rfam family "Bacterial small subunit ribosomal RNA", at positions 29 to 507 of the family's 1533-position model. The record is from RNAcentral.
AGUGAACGCUGGCGGUAGGCCUAACACAUGCAAGUCGAACGGCAGCACAGUAAGAGCUUGCUCUUACGGGUGGCGAGUGGCGGACGGGUGAGGAAUACAUCGGAAUCUACUUUUUCGUGGGGGAUAACGUAGGGAAACUUACGCUAAUACCGCAUACGACCUACGGGUGAAAGCAGGGGAUCUUCGGACCUUGCGCGAUUGAAUGAGCCGAUGUCGGAUUAGCUAGUUGGCGGGGUAAAGGCCCACCAAGGCGACGAUCCGUAGCUGGUCUGAGAGGAUGAUCAGCCACACUGGAACUGAGACACGGUCCAGACUCCUACGGGAGGCAGCAGUGGGGAAUAUUGGACAAUGGGCGCAAGCCUGAUCCAGCCAUACCGCGUGGGUGAAGAAGGCCUUCGGGUUGUAAAGCCCUUUUGUUGGGAAAGAAAACCAGCAGGUUAAUACCCCGCUGUUCUGACGGUACCCAAAGAAUAAGCACCGGCUAACUUCGUG